UCCUGCCAGGUAAAUUAAAGUGGUUCAACACAAAAAUUGAAUCAUUGUCAAAAUACUUGCACAUGACUAAGAUCACCCACCAGAUGUCAACUAGCCUCUGUUGUAUGACCAAGUCCAUUGUGGGAGUUAAUUACUUGUACUGUUCCAGAAAUCAUGUUCUACACUUGUUAUUAAUAUAUACAUGUAUGAAGAUAAACAACCCAAAAUAAG
This 210-nucleotide long non-coding RNA is filed under the name Mytilus galloprovincialis (Mediterranean mussel). Lineage: Eukaryota; Metazoa; Mollusca; Bivalvia; Mytilida; Mytilidae. The record is from RNAcentral.